This 104-nucleotide ribosomal RNA is filed under the name Argentina sialis (Pacific argentine). RNAcentral describes it as "partial small subunit ribosomal RNA". The record is from RNAcentral. Lineage: Eukaryota; Metazoa; Chordata; Actinopteri; Argentiniformes; Argentinidae.
UUGACAGCCAUCGGCGUAAAGAGUGGUUAGGGAAUUUUCAAACUAAAGCCGAACACCCCCUAGGCUGUUAUACGCACCUGGGAGUACGAAGCCCUCCAACGAAA